UGCGAACUCCUACGGGAGGCAGCAGUGGGGAAUAUUGCACAAUGGGGGAAACCCUGAUGCAGCAACGCCGCGUGAAGGAAGACGGUUUUCGGAUUGUAAACUUCUGUUCUUAGUGAAGAAUAAUGACGGUAGCUAAGGAGCAAGCCACGGCUAACUACGUGCCAGCAGCCGCGGUAAUACGUAGGUGGCAAGCGUUGUCCGGAAUUACUGGGUGUAAAGGGAGCGCAGGCGGGAGACCAAGUCAGCUGUGAAAACUACGGGCUUAACCUGUAGACUGCAGUUGAAACUGGUUUUCUUGAGUGAAGUAGAGGUUGGCGGAAUUCCGAGUGUAGCGGUGAAAUGCGUAGAUAUUCGGAGGAACACCGGUGGCGAAGGCGGCCAACUGGGCUUUAACUGACGCUGAGGCUCGAAAGUGUGGGGAGCAAACAGGAUUAGAAACCCUAGUAGUCCAGAUG
Molecule: ribosomal RNA, 455 nt
Filed under: uncultured bacterium
Lineage: Bacteria
Description: bacterial SSU rRNA
Rfam family: Bacterial small subunit ribosomal RNA
Source: RNAcentral